UGGGGAAUCUUCCGCAAUGGACGAAAGUCUGACGGAGCAACGCCGCGUGAGUGAAGAAGGUUUUCGGAUCGUAAAACUCUGUCUUUUGGGGCGAACGUGAGUAUGGUGAACAAUCAUAGUCAGUGACGGUACCAAAGGAGGAAGCCACGGCUAACUACGUGCCAGCAGCCGCGGUAAUACGUAGGUGGCAAGCGUUGUCCGGAAUUAUUGGGCGUAAAGAGCGCGUAGGCGGGAUAGUCAGUCUGUUGUAAAGUGCGGGGCUCAACCCCGUGAUCGCAAUGGAACAGCUAUUCUUGAGUGCAGGAGAGGAAAGUGGAAUUCCCAGUGUAGCGGUGAAAUGCGUAGAUAUUGGGAGGAACACCAGUGGCGAAGGCGACUUUCUGGACUGUGUCUGACGCUGAGGCGCGAAAGCCAGGGGAGCGAACGGGAUUAGAUACCCCGGUAGUCCUGGCCGUAAACGAUGGGUACUAGGUGUGGGAGGUAUCGACCCCUUCCGUGCCGGAGUUAACGCAAUAAGUACCCCGCCUGGGGAGUACGGUCGCAAGACUGAAACUCAAUGAAUUGACGGGGUCAUAGCUGUUUCCUG
Molecule: ribosomal RNA, 586 nt
Filed under: uncultured bacterium
Lineage: Bacteria
Description: partial 16S ribosomal RNA
Rfam family: Bacterial small subunit ribosomal RNA
Source: RNAcentral